GCAUAAAGCCCUCCUUCUCGGUAAUUAACUCUUACUUAAUUGUCAAUCCACUAAAUAGUUUGUAACUGUACAUGUAGGUUGGUGUUCAAAGUAGUGUCCAUCUAGCAUUUUGCCUUUGGAUGGCUACUGCUUAACAGAUAGUAUUAAAAGCAUAAACAAAGUGUUUGGAAAAUUGAAUUCAAGAUUUUACAUACUUCAAUAAAGUGCUAUGGAAAUCGUUUAACCAUUGUGUCUAUAUAGGAUCCGUUUUAAUUUGCAUCAUCGCUGAAUAAUAAACUGCUUUUCUUGGAUGUACAGUAUGUAUGCUAUGUAAUUGGGCUGAUAGGGUGCUAACAAAUUAAUGCCCAACACUUUCCCCUUGUCAGGUAAAAUCGUCUGGCAUACAGAUGUAAAAUAUCAAAGCAAUCGUCUGGCAUACAGAAGUAAAAUAUCAAAGAAGAGUGUUAUACUGUAAGAUGCAUUGCAGUUUUAAUGGGGUUAAUUAGCUUUUUGCUCAUCAACUAGUCAAUAAGAAAGGCAUGUUGCAUACUGGUGUUAUAAGACGGCAGAUUGUGGGCAACUUUAGGCUGUGGAUAUUUACAGGAAAACAUAAUUAAUAAAAUUACAUCUCACAAUUCUAUUUAUUUAACACCAAAUACACAACUACUUAGGCCCCAUUUACACGAUACCGGAUUCGCAUUGGAGCAACAUCAACUAAGGCACUUUUUGGCCUCUUACAACUUUUCAUAUUUUACGUUUUUGAGUGCUAAAGUCCCCUUGAAAUUGUAAAAUUUGAUGUCACUCCAAAGCAAAUCCGGCAUCGUGUAACUGGGGUCUUAUUCUAGUGGUCCUAAUAUGCUCACACAAUGUGAUUGACAAUGAUUUAUCAAAUGAUGCAGGGAAUUUGUUGAGAGGGGCUUGUCGGGAGAUGUUACUAUAUUAUAGUGACAACAAGGGCUCUUACUGGACCAACAGGGAGAACAGAUUAGAACAUGAUAUAUCCUACAAGCAGAGCCUGAUGAAAGACUUUCCUUUAUUCUGAGGAAAUCAGGCUCUGCUCACAGGGUAAGAACUGAUCGAGCUAUCCAGUACAAGUUAAUUUAGUUUAGGUUUCCUCCUGUAGUAAAACACUGGACUAACAAAGGAUGGGAAUUCAUAUGGAUGACAGCUGUAGAAAAAAAAUAAUAUUAGCUUAUGUAAUGCGCGAAUCAAAUCGAAACCUUGACAUCCCCCCCCCCGGGCAUACCUGGGGAAUUUGCUUGUUUAGUAUUUUAAGAAGGCGGGAAUUUGACCUUUUUUUCUAGUGGAAGGUGGGGAAUUUGAAGGGGGUCGGGAAUUUGAAUUUUUCUUUUAAACACGUGUGCAGAAUCCAAAAUGGCGUCAAUAAUUAAUGGAUGAGUUCAAGGUCUUCAAGUGCAAAGGAAUUAACUUUGUCCUUGGUUGGCUACAAGAAAACGACUUUGAACGAUUGAAGAGAGUUUUAGAAGGAAAGAAAAACUUUGAAAUUCCAAAAUUGCGAAAUGCUGUAGCUUCCAAUUCGUACAUGGGGUGGGGUAUUUGAACUCCAAUUUUUCCCAAUACGUGGUGUAUUUGAACGGGAAUUACAAAUAUACGUAGGGAAUUUGACCUGAC
Molecule: non-coding RNA, 1611 nt
Organism: Paramuricea clavata
Lineage: Eukaryota; Metazoa; Cnidaria; Anthozoa; Malacalcyonacea; Plexauridae
Source: the annotation of a GenBank genome assembly